UUUAAUUUAGUACUAUUUUACAGUUCAGUUUGAAACUGGAAAAUAUUAUACUGCAAUUGUAAUUCAAAAUGAUGAAAAGCGAGCGUCUUGGAACGAGUUAAUUGGCAAAACUUAAUUAAAAACAAAUUGAGAAAUUCAAUUAUAAGAGAUCCGAACGUUUGUUAUUCAAUAUUGAGAAUGCGAUUCGUUGGAGUUUUUAUUUUAUUUAUAGCUGUUUUCUGUGUACAUUCACAGGUACCAUAUGACUAUCCACCUAUAGGACGGGAAGCAAGAAGAGAUGCGUCGAGACCUCAUCCAUCUGAUGUAAACCUUAUUUAUGAGAGGCUGUUCCCUUCACGACGCAAAUAUGCAGAUUAAAGUUAUUUCGCUAUAUUUCGUCGUUUGCUAGAAACAAUUUCACUGAGGCGAGAAUUUCUUUCAAAAAGUAUUAUCAAUUACACAUUUUAUACGUUAAAUGUAAACUUAAACGUGUA
Pieris rapae (cabbage white) is the source of this 473-nucleotide long non-coding RNA. RefSeq lists it as uncharacterized. The transcript has 3 exons. NCBI's taxonomy places the organism in Eukaryota, Metazoa, Arthropoda, Insecta, Lepidoptera, Pieridae. The record is from RefSeq and is a predicted model, not a curated record.